CUUNGGGGUACUCGAGUGGCGAACGGGUGAGUAACACGUGGGUGAUCUGCCCUGCACUUUGGGAUAAGCCUGGGAAACUGGGUCUAAUACCGAAUAGGACCACGCGCUUCAUGGUGUGUGGUGGAAAGCUUUUGCGGUGUGGGAUGGGCCCGCGGCCUAUCAGCUUGUUGGUGGGGUAAUGGCCUACCAAGGCGACGACGGGUAGCCGGCCUGAGAGGGUGACCGGCCACACUGGGACUGAGAUACGGCCCAGACUCCUACGGGAGGCAGCAGUGGGGAAUAUUGCACAAUGGGCGCAAGCCUGAUGCAGCGACGCCGCGUGAGGGAUGACGGCCUUCGGGUUGUAAACCUCUUUCANNAGGGACGAAGCGUAAGUGACGGUACCUGNAGAAGAAGCACCGGCCAACUACGUGCCAGCAGCCGCGGUAAUACGUAGGGUGCGAGCGUUGUCCGGAAUUACUGGGCGUAAAGAGCUCGUAGGUGGUUUGUCGCGUUGUUCGUGAAAACUCACAGCUUAACUGUGGGCGUGCGGGCGAUACGGGCAGACUAGAGUACUGCAGGGGAGACUGGAAUUCCUGGUGUAGCGGUGGAAUGCGCAGAUAUCAGGAGGAACACCGGUGGCGAAGGCGGGUCUCUGGGCAGUAACUGACGCUGAGGAGCGAAAGCGUGGGGAGCGAACAGGAUUAGAUACCCUGGUAGUCCACGCCGUAAACGGUGGGUACUAGGUGUGGGUUCCUUCCUUGGGAUCCGUGCCGUAGCUAACGCAUUAAGUACCCCGCCUGGGGAGUACGGCCGCAAGGCUAAAACUCAAAGGAAUUGACGGGGGCCCGCACAAGCGGCGGAGCAUGUGGAUUAAUUCGAUGCAACGCGAAGAACCUUACCUGGGUUUGACAUGCACAGGACGCCGGCAGAGAUGUCGGUUCCCUUGUGGCCUGUGUGCAGGUGGUGCAUGGCUGUCGUCAGCUCGUGUCGUGAGAUGUUGGGUUAAGUCCCGCAACGAGCGCAACCCUUGUCCUAUGUUGCCAGCGGGUUAUGCCGGGGACUCGUAGGAGACUGCCGGGGUCAACUCGGAGGAAGGUGGGGAUGACGUCAAGUCAUCAUGCCCCUUAUGUCCAGGGCUUCACACAUGCUACAAUGGCCGGUACAAAGGGCUGCGAUGCCGUGAGGUGGAGCGAAUCCUUUCAAAGCCGGUCUCAGUUCGGAUCGGGGUCUGCAACUCGACCCCGUGAAGUCGGAGUCGCUAGUAAUCGCAGAUCAGCAACGCUGCGGUGAAUACGUUCCCGGGCCUUGUACACACCGCCCGUCACGUCAUGAAAGUCGGUAACACCCGAAGCCGGU
This 1338-nucleotide ribosomal RNA is filed under the name Mycobacterium sp. DWMJ-1228B1. RNAcentral describes it as "bacterial SSU rRNA". It matches the Rfam family "Bacterial small subunit ribosomal RNA", at positions 78 to 1431 of the family's 1533-position model. The record is from RNAcentral. Lineage: Bacteria; Bacillati; Actinomycetota; Actinomycetes; Mycobacteriales; Mycobacteriaceae.